GGGGAUAUAGCUCAGUUGGCGGAGUGCUUGCCUUGCAUGCACAAGGCCCUGGGUUCAAUCCCCAGCACCCCCC
Ictidomys tridecemlineatus (thirteen-lined ground squirrel) is the source of this 73-nucleotide non-coding RNA. The record is from Rfam. Lineage: Eukaryota; Metazoa; Chordata; Mammalia; Rodentia; Sciuridae.